This 162-nucleotide non-coding RNA is filed under the name Picochlorum sp. RCC944. The record is from RNAcentral. Lineage: Eukaryota; Viridiplantae; Chlorophyta; Trebouxiophyceae.
CUGAGCUUUACGGUCUGGGCAAAGGUGGGCAGAAAGUGACGGCCGCGAAACAAAGUUUCCAGAAAACCAUGGACCUCAUGAUUGAGCUGGCCUCGUUGCAGUGCGCCUUCGUGACCUUGGACGAGGCAAUAAAGACGACGAACAGAAGAGUGAACGCGCUGG